ACGGGUGAGUAAUGCCUAGGAAUCUGCCUGGUAGUGGGGGACAACGUCUCGAAAGGGACGCUAAUACCGCAUACGUCCUACGGGAGAAAGCAGGGGACCUUCGGGCCUUGCGCUAUCAGAUGAGCCUAGGUCGGAUUAGCUAGUUGGUGAGGUAAUGGCUCACCAAGGCGACGAUCCGUAACUGGUCUGAGAGGAUGAUCAGUCACACUGGAACUGAGACACGGUCCAGACUCCUACGGGAGGCAGCAGUGGGGAAUAUUGGACAAUGGGCGAAAGCCUGAUCCAGCCAUGCCGCGUGUGUGAAGAAGGUCUUCGGAUUGUAAAGCACUUUAAGUUGGGAGGAAGGGCAUUAACCUAAUACGUUAGUGUUUUGACGUUACCGACAGAAUAAGCACCGGCUAACUCUGUGCCAGCAGCCGCGGUAAUACAGAGGGUGCAAGCGUUAAUCGGAAUUACUGGGCGUAAAGCGCGCGUAGGUGGUUUGUUAAGUUGGAUGUGAAAGCCCCGGGCUCAACCUGGGAACUGCAUUCAAAACUGACAAGCUAGAGUAUGGUAGAGGGUGGUGGAAUUUCCUGUGUAGCGGUG
RNAcentral lists this ribosomal RNA (585 nucleotides) under Pseudomonas sp. StFRB132. Its description in RNAcentral is "bacterial SSU rRNA". It matches the Rfam family "Bacterial small subunit ribosomal RNA", at positions 102 to 683 of the family's 1533-position model. Lineage: Bacteria; Pseudomonadati; Pseudomonadota; Gammaproteobacteria; Pseudomonadales; Pseudomonadaceae. The record is from RNAcentral. RNAcentral also lists the same sequence under 1 other name.